This 457-nucleotide ribosomal RNA is filed under the name uncultured Legionellaceae bacterium. RNAcentral describes it as "bacterial SSU rRNA". It matches the Rfam family "Bacterial small subunit ribosomal RNA", at positions 342 to 791 of the family's 1533-position model. The record is from RNAcentral. Lineage: Bacteria; Pseudomonadati; Pseudomonadota; Gammaproteobacteria; Legionellales; Legionellaceae.
CGGGGGGCAGCAGUGGGGAAUAUUGGACAAUGGGGGCAACCCUGAUCCAGCAAUGCCGCGUGUGUGAAGAAGGCCUGAGGGUUGUAAAGCACUUUCAGUGGGGAGGAGGAUUACUAGGUUAAGAGCUGAGUAAUUGGACGUUACCCACAGAAGAAGCACCGGCUAACUCCGUGCCAGCAGCCGCGGUAAUACGGAGGGUGCGAGCGUUAAUCGGAAUGACUGGGCGUAAAGGGUUCGUAGGUGGUUUAUUAAGUUGUUGGUGAAAUCUCCGGGCUUAACCUGGGGUUGACGAAUGAAACUGAUAGACUCGAGUAUAGGAGAGGGUAGUGGAAUUUCCGGUGUAGCGGUGAAAUGCGUAGAGAUCGGAAGGAACACCAGUUGCGAAGGCGGCUACCUGGCCUGGUACUGACACUGAGGAACGAAAGCGUGGGGAGCAAACAGGAUUAGAUACCCUGGU